RNAcentral lists this ribosomal RNA (224 nucleotides) under uncultured bacterium. Its description in RNAcentral is "partial 16S ribosomal RNA". It matches the Rfam family "Bacterial small subunit ribosomal RNA", at positions 15 to 235 of the family's 1533-position model. The record is from RNAcentral.
GAUCAUGGCUCAGGAUGAACGCUAGCGACAGGCUUAACACAUGCAAGUCGAGGGGCAUCAUGAGGUAGCAAUACCUUGAUGGCGACCGGCGCACGGGUGAGUAACGCGUAUGCAACCUGCCUGAUACCGGGGUAUAGCCCAUGGAAAUGUGGAUUAACACCCCAUAGUACUUUUAUCCUGCAUGGGAUGUGAGUUAAAUGUUCAAGGUAUCGGAUGGGCAUGCG